Molecule: ribosomal RNA, 489 nt
Filed under: uncultured bacterium
Lineage: Bacteria
Description: partial 16S ribosomal RNA
Rfam family: Bacterial small subunit ribosomal RNA
Source: RNAcentral
AUUGAACGCUGGCGGCAUGCUUUACACAUGCAAGUCGAACGGCAGCACGAAAGAGCUUGCUCUUUUGGUGGCGAGUGGCGCACGGGUGAGUAAUGCAUCGGAACGUACCGAGUAAUGGGGGAUAACUGUCCGAAAGGAUAGCUAAUACCGCAUACGCUUUGAGAAGGAAAGUGGGGGCUCUUCGGACCUCACGUUAUUCGAGCGGCCGAUGUCUGAUUAGCUAGUUGGUGGGGUAAAGGCCUACCAAGGCGACGAUCAGUAGCGGGUCUGAGAGGAUGAUCCGCCACACUGGGACUGAGACACGGCCCAGACUCCUACGGGAGGCAGCAGUGGGGAAUUUUGGACAAUGGGCGCAAGCCUGAUCCAGCCAUGCCGCGUGUCUGAAGAAGGCCUUCUGGUUGUAAAGGACUUUUGUUAGGGAAGAAAAGGAUAGUGUUAAUACCAUUAUCUGCUGACGGUACCUAAAGAAUAAGCACCGGCUAACUACGU